CGGCCAGACCAUUGCUCUGAGGAUGCGAAACUGAUGUCAGACGGUGAUCAAUCCCAAGGUUUGAGCAAAAGUUUCUAAACUAUUGGUUGUCAAAUUGCCUGCCAUUGUCGGUGAUGAGGACCUUUGGUAUCCCAAACCUACAAAUGAUAGACCUCCAAGUGAAGGCUCUUAGUUUGGGCUCCGAUAUUGUGGCGAGAGGUUCAGCCUCUACCCAUUUUGUGAAGUACUCUACUGCUACAGCAACAAACUUUAAUUGGCCUCUUGCCACAGGAAAGGGGCCGAGGAUGUCAACUCCCCAUUGUUCAAACGGGGCCGAACAGUUAAUGUUGGUGAGAUCUUCGGCUGGUGAGUGGAUAACAUUGCCAAACCUCUGGCACCUAUCACAUCUUUUAACAUAUUCUGAGGCGUCUUUUUUCAUAGUUGGCCAGUAGUAUCCAUAUCGUACGAGUUUAAAGGCCAAGGCCUGGCUCCUUGAUGAUUCCCGCACCGCACACACCUUCAUGAACUUCAGCAAGGGCCUGGGAUGAUUCUGAUGGCCUGAGGCACCUUAGGUAUGGAAGAGUAAUACUUCUGCGAAAGAGGACACUGCUGAUCAUGCAGUACCUAGGAGCUCGGGCUCUGAUACUUCUGGCCAACCUGGCAUAGCUUGGUAGAUUUUCGCUUGUGAUGAAUUCUAUGAUUGGGUCCAUCCAGGAUGGUUCGUUGUCAAUGUCCAUGAUGUCGAGGAUUUGACUGAUGCUGGGUUCUGUGAUGAUUUUAAUGUGAACUGUUCUGUCAAGGCCGUCUAUCCCCAUGAACACAAGCCUGGAUAAUGCGUCGGCUUUUCCGUUGUCCUUUCGAGCAAUUUUUGUAAUUUCACAGCUCUUGAAUUUUCAUUGAAGAUCCUGAACCUUCAUACAGUACAAACUCAUUUUCUCCUCCUUCCUUUCAAAUGAUCCUUCAAUCUGUCCGACCAUUAGUUGUGAAUCGCUGAAUAUCUUUACGAACUCGAGCUCUAGGUAAAGGGCUAGCUCAAGAGCAAUAACGACGGCCUCAUACUCGGCCUCGUUGUUGGUUGCUUCAAACUCGAACCUGAGAGCGCAUUGGAUCUCUGUUU
Molecule: long non-coding RNA, 1096 nt
Filed under: Olea europaea subsp. europaea
Lineage: Eukaryota; Viridiplantae; Streptophyta; Magnoliopsida; Lamiales; Oleaceae
Source: RNAcentral